UGGGGAAUAUUGCGCAAUGGGCGAAAGCCUGACGCAGCGACGCCGCGUGAGGGAUGAAGGUUUUCGGAUCGUAAACCUCUGUCAGAAGGGAAGAAACCACACUGUGCUAAUCAGCAGUGCCUUGACGGUACCUUCAAAGGAAGCACCGGCUAACUCCGUGCCAGCAGCCGCGGUAAUACGGAGGGUGCAAGCGUUAAUCGGAAUUACUGGGCGUAAAGCGCACGUAGGCUGCUUUGUAAGUCAGGGGUGAAAUCCCACGGCUCAACCGUGGAACUGCCUUUGAUACUGCUUAGCUUGAAUCCGGGAGAGGGUGGCGGAAUUCCAGGUGUAGGAGUGAAAUCCGUAGAUAUCUGGAGGAACAUCAGUGGCGAAGGCGGCCACCUGGACCGGUAUUGACGCUGAGGUGCGAAAGCGUGGGGAGCAAACAGG
Molecule: ribosomal RNA, 429 nt
Filed under: Fusobacteriota bacterium
Lineage: Bacteria; Fusobacteriati; Fusobacteriota
Description: Fusobacteria bacterium partial 16S ribosomal RNA
Rfam family: Bacterial small subunit ribosomal RNA
Source: RNAcentral